ACUUCGGUCCACUGAAGGCCCCUCGGAGACUACGAGGUUGAUAGGCGGGAGGUGAAUGCUGACCCGUACUAAUCGGCCGUGAGGCUUGACCGUAU
RNAcentral lists this ribosomal RNA (95 nucleotides) under Deltaproteobacteria bacterium. RNAcentral describes it as "partial 23S ribosomal RNA". Lineage: Bacteria; Pseudomonadati; Myxococcota; Myxococcia. The record is from RNAcentral.